Molecule: ribosomal RNA, 93 nt
Filed under: Sedimentibacter sp. SX930
Lineage: Bacteria; Bacillati; Bacillota; Tissierellia
Also listed under: 1 other name
Description: partial 16S ribosomal RNA
Rfam family: Bacterial small subunit ribosomal RNA
Source: RNAcentral
CCAGCCGCCUAAGGUGGGACAGAUGAUUGGGGUGAAGUCGUAACAAGGUAGCCGUAUCGGAAGGUGCGGCUGGAUCACCUCCUUUCUAAGGAA